Molecule: long non-coding RNA, 149 nt
Organism: Etheostoma spectabile (orangethroat darter)
Lineage: Eukaryota; Metazoa; Chordata; Actinopteri; Perciformes; Percidae
Exons: 2
Source: RefSeq, a predicted model, not a curated record
UUUUGGUAUCACCUCAGCUCGCUUGGAACCUCGACUGAGGUGAUACUAAAUAAAAGUACCUGUUGCCAGGUACCAGGGACUUUUUUCAUAAUGGAAAUCCAAAAAAGGCGAGUAGAGUCGAGGCGAGUUAAGCAGGUACCAUGUGAUGG